UGGGGAAUUUUGGACAAUGGGCGAAAGCCUGAUCCAGCAAUGCCGCGUGUGUGAAGAAGGCCUUCGGGUUGUAAAGCACUUUUGUCCGGAAAGAAAUCCUUGGCUCUAAUACAGUCGGGGGAUGACGGUACCGGAAGAAUAAGCACCGGCUAACUACGUGCCAGCAGCCGCGGUAAUACGUAGGGUGCAAGCGUUAAUCGGAAUUACUGGGCGUAAAGCGUGCGCAGGCGGUUUGCUAAGACCGAUGUGAAAUCCCCGGGCUCAACCUGGGAACUGCAUUGGUGACUGGCAGGCUAGAGUAUGGCAGAGGGGGGUAGAAUUCCACGUGUAGCAGUGAAAUGCGUAGAGAUGUGGAGGAAUACCGAUGGCGAAGGCAGCCCCCCUGGGCCAAUACUGACGCUCAUGCACGAAAGCGUGGGGAGCAAAACAGGAUUAGAUACCCUGGUAGUCCACGCCCUAAACGAUGUCAACUAGUUGUUGGGGAUUCAUUUCCUAGUAACGUAGCUAACGCGUGAAGUUGACCGCCUGGGGAGUACGGUCGCAAGAUUAAAACUCAAAGGAAUUGACGGGGUCAUAGCUGUUUCCU
Molecule: ribosomal RNA, 586 nt
Filed under: uncultured bacterium
Lineage: Bacteria
Description: partial 16S ribosomal RNA
Rfam family: Bacterial small subunit ribosomal RNA
Source: RNAcentral